AUACGGAGGGUGCAAGCGUUACUCGGAAUCACUGGGCGUAAAGCGCGCGCAGGCGGUCUUUUAAGUUGGAUGUGAAAGCCUAGGGCUCAACCGUAGAACUGCAUCCAAAACUAUUAGACUAGAGUGUGGGAGAGGAAGAUGGAAUUAGUUGUGUAGGGGUAAAAUCCGUAGAGAUAACUAGGAAUACCAAAAGCGAAGGCAAUCUUCUGGAACACUACUGACGCUGAGGCGCGAAAGCGUGGGGAGCAAACAGGAUUAGAUACCCUAGUAGUCC
This 274-nucleotide ribosomal RNA is filed under the name uncultured bacterium. RNAcentral's name for it is "partial 16S ribosomal RNA". It matches the Rfam family "Bacterial small subunit ribosomal RNA", at positions 523 to 796 of the family's 1533-position model. The record is from RNAcentral.